Molecule: small RNA, 154 nt
Filed under: Plasmodium chabaudi chabaudi
Lineage: Eukaryota; Apicomplexa; Aconoidasida; Haemosporida; Plasmodiidae
Description: Plasmodium RNA of unknown function RUF2
Rfam family: Plasmodium RNA of unknown function RUF2
Source: Rfam by way of RNAcentral
UUCAUUGAACAUUUCGAAGGGCUAUUAUGAAAAUAUUUAUUUAAAUAUUUUUAAACAAAUAAUAGCAUCAAAUUUGUUCAUAAAACAAAUGUAUAUACGGUGGCUUUUUAAAUUUUUAAUUUUAAAAGUGUCAAUCCAUAUAUAUCACAGCACC